This 301-nucleotide ribosomal RNA is filed under the name uncultured bacterium. RNAcentral's name for it is "partial 16S ribosomal RNA". It matches the Rfam family "Archaeal small subunit ribosomal RNA", at positions 459 to 759 of the family's 1478-position model. The record is from RNAcentral.
CAGCCGCCGCGGGAAAACCAGCAGCCCAAGUGGUGGUCGCGUUUAUUGGGCCUAAAGCGCUCGUAGCCUGGCCGGUAAGUUCCCCGUGAAAUCGGGUCGCCCAACGAUUCGGCUUGCGGGGAAUACUGUCGGUCUUGGGGCCGGGAGACGCCGAGGGUACUCCGGGGGUAGCGGUGAAAUGCUGUAAUCCUCGGGGGACUACCAGUGGCGAAGGCGCUCGGCGAUAACGGGCCUGACGGUGAGGGGCGAAAGCUGGGGGCGCGAACGGGAUUAGAUACCCCGGUAGUCCCUGUCUCUUAUU